Molecule: RNA transcript, 1965 nt
Organism: Nicotiana attenuata
Lineage: Eukaryota; Viridiplantae; Streptophyta; Magnoliopsida; Solanales; Solanaceae
Exons: 5
Source: RefSeq, a predicted model, not a curated record
ACUAAAAACUCAACUAGCUAGUUAGUUUCUCCCUCACCGGCAAUGGAAAGAAACUUUCUUUAGUUUAUCUAUCGAAACCCUAACAACUAAGUUCGUCCCUUCCGGGACAUCCGAUAAAAUUGGAACGAUACAGAGAAGAUUAGCAUGGCCCCUGCGCAAGGAUGACACGCACAAAUCGAGAAAUGGUCCAAAUUUUUUUUACACGCCAUUUUCGUGGAUUUUGCUUUUUUAUUCAGCUGAAAUCUCUAACCUGAGUGCAUUACAAAUAUUGUAUUGAGCAACCUUUUGGUCCUGGAAGAUUUAGGUCAAAUAGAAUUAUGGCAAAGGAAUACAAAAAAAAGAGCCGCACAGGAAGACUCAUUUGAGGUGUAUUUGGUGUUGUUGUUGUUGUUGAUUUUCAGUCUUGACGGAACUCGACUAUCUUAGUUGGGAAAUGAAAGGAACUGGACGAGGAAAAAGUGGGAGAGGCGGGACGAGCUGUGGUCGUGGAAGUUUUCAAGGACUUGGCAAUUUUGGAGCGACGUCUCAUGAGAAGCACUAUCUUGUUCCAAGAUGGAAAUUGGCAAAAAAUAGUUUUGAAACACGGAGAAGCAAUGUGGUUAAAGGUCAAGGUAACAAAUUAAUUUCAUAAGAUGUUAUACUUCAUGUUGCUCCCUGCUUUUGCACAAAUUUAAGAUGUUACAAUACAUGUUCCUCUUGGUAGCUUUUCAUCUUCAUUUGAAUUCAACCUCUCCUUCUUGGCUAUUUCAUUUUCUUGUGAGCUUUCCCGUCGAGAACUCAUUAUUAUUUAUCUGAUGGAUCGUUUUGUUGUUCGUGGUUGCGAUCAUAAUCCUCAAAUUUGAGAUGACUUAGCUAAGUUCUUGAAUUUUGUUCUCCAUUUUAUCCUUCUACAUCUCUGUAAAUGUGUGAGUAUCUUGAUUCAGUUAUUUAUUCUGAUGUGUUAUUAUGGUUCCAGGAUCAGGGUGUGGUGGAGGUAUUAUUGAGAUAGUUGCUUCUGAGGCCAAAACUUCCUUUCUUAUCCUCUGUAUCUUUUAAGAAAAGAGCUCUUCGAUGUGGAUUUUAAGUUGCAAGCAAGGAACCUGUUUCGGUAGAUUUUCCUUUUGCUGGUCCACUGUUGGCUUGUUGUUUGUAGUUCAUAUUUUGCUUGAUUUUCCCACAAGAUUGGUAUGGUAUUUGUUGUCAAUCUCUGCUUGAACAGUGUGAUGUGAGGUUCUGGAACCUUUACAUGUACUACCUCAUGAAAUUCCCACAAUUUCGAGGAAAAUGUUUGCUUCUUUAGAGCAAUUUCUAGCAUUUUGUGAGCUCAACAAUGACAUGAAUGAGGUGUACUACUUGCUUCUGUCCAUAUUGUCAAUGUUGGAAUGGGCAGUAGUGUCUUCAGUGUUAGAUAAGGCUUCAAUAUUGUAUUGACUUUAAGUUUCAAGGUUUAUUUAUGUGGUUAGGAUAUCGAAUAUAAUAUUACAUUUAUUGGCAGGAUAAAUUUAAAGUUUACAGCGGGCUGCAAGAGCAUAGGUUUCAAGCCUUUGUAAUUAGCACUAUGCAAAGGCUUUUUAGAGCAUGGAAAGCUCGAUUCAGCAGGCUGUACUCUAAGUACAAUACUAAUGAAGAAAGAUUGUCUCAUCGACCUGAAGAUGUUGAGCUUAAGGACUGGAAAUACCUAAUAAAUAUAUUAGAAGUCAGGAUUUUAAGGCUGUAAGUGAGAGAAACAAAAGAAAUAGAGAAAAGUAAAUAACUAAGCAUACUUGUGGUGCAAGGUCUUUUGCAGAAGUAGAGGAAACUACGGUAAAAAUAUAUUUAGUCUACCACAUAUACUUCUUUGUUAUUUACAUAUUUAUAUAUUUGCUUUUUUUUUUUCCUGAAAUUAUAUUGCAGAGAAAUCCUAUUACCGGAAAAAUAGACACACCGAAUAAAGUUUGGGAGAUCCAACAUACGCACAAGGAUGAUAGAGGAGAACUGGUGUGGGUG